Molecule: long non-coding RNA, 549 nt
Organism: Caretta caretta (loggerhead turtle)
Lineage: Eukaryota; Metazoa; Chordata; Testudines; Cheloniidae
Source: RefSeq, a predicted model, not a curated record
CGAGGCGCAGGCGUUGUGCGUCAUCUCAGCGCCUCCAAGAGGGGCGGGGCGAGAGCUCCUUAAAGGGGCGGAGCAGGCCGGCGGCCCCAGUCCCACCGCGCUCAGGACCCACAAUCCCUCGCGGCGUGCGGGGACGCGCGCACGUUCCCGCCAGAGCUGCGUGGCAGUGCCCUGGGGGUGUUGCCAUGGCGAUGUCCCCCGGCAUUGCCCACCCUGCCUAUCCCCUGGGCUGCGUCGCAGAGACGCCACGGCGCCCGCACGCCGUUCAGGAUGGGCCCAUGGGGGCAAGUUUGCUGUGACAGAAACCCAAUGAUGCCAACUUGAAGCGUUCAAAAACCAAGGGUUAGCCUCCCUCCCCCUGAAAAAACAUGAGAUUUGCUUCAAGAAUACACUUUGGGUUCUUUUCCGUUGCCUUCCAGUUUCCGAGCCUCUUGUAGAAGGUGAUAGAUUGCAUCUGAUGAAGUGAGCUGUAGCUCACAAAAGCUUAUGCUCUAAUAAAUUUGUUAGUCUCUGAGGUGCCACAAGUCCUCCUUUUUUUUUUUUUUUUUU